CUGACUUCUGUCUCCCAGGAUGGAGGAAGACGCUGGCCUGGUCCCCUACAAGGAUGGCAUGGUGGAGGAUGAAACAGACAAGUUAGAGGAUCCAGAGUUUGAGAUGAAUUGUGGCCCUCUGGUCACGGAGAAUGCGAUUGCCCCUGAGCAACCCUGUCCCAGGAAGGAAGGAGGCACUGAUGCUAAGAAAAUGAAGCCGGAGACCUUGGCCACAGACAGGCUGCAGGCAUCUCAGCUGCACAGGAGCCUGGAGCUCCUGGACCAAGCAUUCGAGGAGAAGGAGCUGUUCCUCCAGAAGACCCGAGAGGAGCUGUGCGCCUGUCGCCAGAGGAUGGACCUCCUGAGCAAGCAGCAGGCGACUGUGGCUGAAGAGGUCACCCGGGAGAGAACAACCAGCAACAUGGCAGCGGUGGGCCGACUACAGGCCACAUCCCGACGCCUGUGCCUGGAGCUGGAGGAUGAGCGGGACCUGCAGGCACGAAUCAUGGCCGUGCUGCAGGAGAAUGAGAGCGCCAUGUGGCACCUUGAGAUCAAGAAAGGGCAGCUGGAGGACAUCCGGAAGUCCAGCUGCCAGAGGACGGAGGCCAGGGACCUCUGCCUCAGGGCACAUGUGGCCCAGCAGCUCUGCAGGGAGGAGGAGGCCUCAGGGAGGGCAGAGAGGAACCGGAGGCUGCAGAUCCGGAAGUCCUUGCACAUGCAGAGAGAGCUGGGGCUCAAGCACCAGAAACUGGUGGAAGAUGCCCAGAAGAACCACUGGGUGGCAGUGAAGUUCCUGAAGGCUUCCCUGGGCCGAGUGCGGGAGCGAGAGCGGAAGCAGGAGCUGGAGUCCCGUGAGCACCUGCAGCGGCGCAUGGAGGCCGUGCUGGCACUGAAGAACAGCAUCACCGCUAACCGGGAGACACUGAGGAAGUUUCAAGCCUGGGGCCGGGCCAGGAAGGAACAGGAGGGGCAGCAGGUCCAGGUGGAGCAGCAGGAGGUCCUGGCCCAGGGCAGGGACGCCUUCAAGCACCUUUUCCACCAGCGUCGUCGCCAGGAGCUGGAGGCGCAGAGGCGGGCGUUUGAGGAGCAGCAGCAGCUGCGGAAGCAGGAGAUAGUCAGUCGGAUCCUGCAGGAGGGCACCAAGGAGGGAAACUGCAGGAAGAGGCAGCAGCCCCCAGCCAAGGCCACCACCCCUCGGAUGCUGAGGGACCGGACCUGGAGCUACAUCACUGCCUUCUGUGAAGGGAAAGCGUACCCCACGGCCACCAGGCACUCUCCAGCCAGCGAGGCAGCGGUGCAGCCCAUGUCUCUGCUGAUGCUGACAACCUCCAGCGAAUCCAUGCAGAACGUCCCCAGGCUGGCCAGCCUGGAGGAGGAGACGCUGGCUGAGCCAGAGAUUCUCGGACUGUGGAGCGAAGAGCACAGGCAGUACCAGGUACCCAAGGAGGAUGUGGACCGGAAGCCCGUGGGUGAGACGAAGAUGGACAAGGACAUUCUGGCCCGCAUGCUGGCACGGCUGCGCAGUGGGGUGGUCCACAAACAGGUGGCGUCUGGCCGGGAAUUCAAGGGCCGCCCCUUCAACAGCAAGCCCGAGCGGAUCCACUUCAAGGACUUUGAUGUUGGCAAAGUGUACAAGAAGAAGAUAACGCUCAUCAACGCCACCUACACGAUCAACUACUGCAAGCUGGUUGGCGUGGAGCAGCACCUCCGGGACUUCAUCCGUGUGGACUUCGACCCUCCUGGGCCCUUGUCUGCUGGGAUGUCCUGUGAGGUUCUCGUCACCUUCAAGCCCAUGAUAAACCAAGAUCUGGAAGGAAGCAUCUCCUUUUUGGCUCAGACAGGCGGAUUUUCUGUCCCACUGAAAUGUUCAACAAAGAAAUGUUCUUUGUCCCUGGACAAGGAGCUCAUCAGCUUUGGCAGCUACAUGGUGGGAAAGACCACAUCACGAACCAUCACGCUGACCAAUGCCGGGGGGCUGGGCACCAGGUUCCGGUUUCUCCCGGCCUCUAAGGCCUGCAAGCUGGACGAGUCCCAGUCUGCCCUGAAGCCAAGCAGCCUGUACACCUAUGAGGACCGGAGUCUCUAUGAGGGGGCCGUGUAUGAUGUGUCCGAGACACUGUUGGAGGCCAGCACAUCCUCCCCGCUGGACACCCAGAGCCAGAAGGAGUCAGAGAAGUCCAAGGAACCAGAGGGCGUGCCUGCAGCCGGCGUCAUGGUAACCAGCCCCAGCGAGGCCCAGGCGCAGAUCACGCUGGGUGAGGUGACUGAGGGGGAAAUCGGGCCCUUCAGCUCCAUCAGAGUGCCCGUGGUCUUCACACCAGCUGUCCCCGGAGAGGUCCACGCCCAGUUCCAGGUGGAGUCCAAGAACCCACAGUGCCCAACGCUGUAUUUCAGAGCCACAGGCGUGGCGGUGGACGUGCCCCUGUGGGUGCCCAAGCCCAUCGUGGACCUCAAGAUCUGCAUGUAUGACCGGCUGUACCAGGACUCCGUGCUCGUGCACACACGGUCCAAGGUGGCCCUGCGCCUGCGGUUCGAGGUAUGCAAGGAGCUGAGAGGCCACCUGGAGCUGCUGCCCGAGACGGGUUACAUCCAGGCCCUGGCGUCCUGCUCCGUGCAGCUGAAGUUCCUGCCCCGACAGUCCCUCCCAGAAGAUGCCGGGGAGUACUUUGACAAGGACACCCGCGUGCUGGAGGCCCCAAUGACAAUCUGGGUGGCUGACCAGACCAAGCCGGUGGGCUUCACGGUGCACGCCAUUGUCACCACUUCGGACCUGGAGCUCUGCCCCUCCGCGCUGGACUUUGGCUACUGCACCAUCUACGAGGCCAUCAGGGCCAGCAUCAGCCUCUGCAACCACUCGCUGCUGCCCCAGGAGUUCGGAUUUGUGGGGCUCCCCAAGUUUGUAGACAUCCAGCCCAAUGACGGCUUCGGCACGAUCCUGCCGCUGGAGACGCUGCAGCUCCAGGUGCUCUUCCAGCCCACCAAGGCCAGAGAGUAUAGCUUCGAACUGGUCUGCAAGUCCAAGAUAAACCGCUGUGCCGACCUUACAGACCCCCGAGCUGUACAGGCAGGAAAACACCUGCACUGAGCUGGCAGGUGGCACAGCCAGGCCAGGAGCAGCGGGCUCAGGAAGGUCUCUGAGCAGCCACCUGCUGCCACCAGCACAAGCCAGGUGCUGAGCCAUCACCGCACUGCCCCAGAAGAUGCCAAGAGCGAUGUCACAGGCCCACCAGGGAGGUCUCCAGGCCCCAGCCAAACCCAGACCUCCAGCUGUCACAGUGGCAGCCCCUGACAUCUCUCCAGUGAGCCUGGGUGGCCUCAGAGACAAGGAAGGACCCCUGCAUGCAGCAUGUAAGAGGUGCUGCUUCCAUCCCCAGCACUGAAGAAAAAAGGUGCAGGUCGGGGGGUGCACAACUAUGAUCCCUGCUACUAGGGAGGCUGAGACAGGAGGAUCUCUUGAGGUCAGAAGUUGGAGUCCAGCUUGGGAAACAGUGAGCCCCCCUCAAAAAAAAUAAAAACACAACAACAACUAGAAGGUGAGUCACUGUGUGCAUUUUAUCACAUGGAGAAGGGGAAUCAUUGAGAGUAAUGCUCAGCAUUCAUAGAAACAGGAGCCCCAGGCCACCAGAGACCCCUGAACCAGCCUGGCAAUGUAGGUCCAUCGUGUUUAGAAGAGGAUAAGGCUGGGUUAACACGAGGCACCAAUGACUGUCACGCUGCACAUGUUUCUAGCUCUUAGGGAGUGAGGCUGGUCACCAGCAGUGUCCCCAAGGAGAGGGCCUCUGACCAGGUAGAAAUAAGGGAUACAAACAUCCCAACCCUGCGUCGCACUGUGCAAGAGACAAGUAGGACAGGGUACCCACUGUCACCCUUUAAAGUAUGAAACAAGCCAGGCACAGUGGCACAUACCUGUUACCCAAGCACUCUGGGAGGCUGAGGCAGGAGUGCUGCAAGUUGAAGCCCAUCCUAGGCAGUUCAGCUACUUAGUGACACCCUCAAAAUACAAAAAUAAGUUCUGUCCCUGGUACCAGAAAAAAAAUACAAUGGGGAUGUAGCUCAGUGCAAAGGCCCUGAGUCUAGCCCCAAAAUAGGAAAAAAUGAAAGUGUAAAACAAUACAUGUACUCAGAACUGAAGUUGUAGCUCAGUGGUAGAGUGCUUGACUUGCAUGCAUGAGGCCCUGGGUUCAGUCCCCAGCACCACACACACACACACAAGUGUAAUUAGGAUAAAGUCAAUGAGGAAAGGCCAGGAAUUCAAGACAAAUGUGGAAUAUAAAAUUUCCAAAGCAAGUCAUAGUGGCACAUCCCUGCCAUCAGCCCUGGACAGGCUGAGGCAGGAAGAUCACCGACAAUUCAAGGACACCCUGGGCUACACAAAACCUGUCUCCAAAAUAGCUGGGCAUGGUGGUGCACAUCUGUAAUCCUAGUGCUUAGGAGGCUG
Molecule: long non-coding RNA, 4417 nt
Organism: Fukomys damarensis (Damara mole-rat)
Lineage: Eukaryota; Metazoa; Chordata; Mammalia; Rodentia; Bathyergidae
Source: Ensembl